CCUACGAGAGGCAGCAGUGAGGAAUAUUGGUCAAUGGGCGCGAGCCUGAACCAGCAAAGUAGCGUGAAGGAUGACUGCCCUACGGGUUGUAAACUUCUUUUAUAAAGGAAUAAAGUGAGGCACGUGUGCCUUUUUGUAUGUACUUUAUGAAUAAGGAUCGGCUAAAUCCGUGCAAGCAGCCGCGGUAAUACGGAGGAUCCGAGCGUUAUCCGGAUUUAUUGGGUGUAAAGGGAGCGUAGAUGGGAUGUGAAUUCAGUUGUGAAAGUUUGCGGCUCAACAGUAAAAUUGCAAUUGAUACUGGCAGUCUGGAGUACAGGUGAGGUAGGCGGAAUUCGUGGUGUAGCGGUGAAAUGCUUAGAUAUCACGAAGAACUCCGAUUGCGAAGGCAGCUUACUAAACUGCCACUGACAUUGAUGCUCGAAAGUGUGGGUAUCAAACAGGAUUAGAUACCCUAGUAGUC
RNAcentral lists this ribosomal RNA (460 nucleotides) under uncultured bacterium. Its description in RNAcentral is "partial 16S ribosomal RNA". It matches the Rfam family "Bacterial small subunit ribosomal RNA", at positions 338 to 795 of the family's 1533-position model. The record is from RNAcentral.